Molecule: long non-coding RNA, 991 nt
Organism: Bombyx mori (domestic silkworm)
Lineage: Eukaryota; Metazoa; Arthropoda; Insecta; Lepidoptera; Bombycidae
Exons: 3
Source: RefSeq, a predicted model, not a curated record
UACGACGAAAAUUAUUCACUUGUUAUCACACGUUUACAUCGUGCUAAGCGAUUAAAUCCGAUGAUGCAAUCCUUUCUGUUGCACUAAAUGCACAAAAUAUUAUUUGUCUAUGUUGUGAAUCUAUAAGAUGCCGCUUUUGAGUUGAGUGUGCAGUGUUUAAAUAAGAUUAUAAUAAUAAUAGCCGCUUUAGGCCAUAACUUGUGUCGAGGCUGUCAAAUUAUAUAUUAUAAUUUUCACAUAACUCUACAACAGUACAUAUAUGGAAGUGUUAUUGGUGGCCGGGCAGUCUUUCCAGAUUCACCAGGGCAUGUGGACGAGCACGGGCUCAGCCAGGAGCGGUGGGACUUGCUAACAGCUGGAGCUACAUUGAGCACCUGGCUAGCUUCACGAAUGCAUCUACUACCGGAUCGGAAUCGCGACCUGCUGAGAAGAUCUGGUGCGAAACCUCCACAGGCCGAGUUCGACGAGUACGGUUACAGGGGUCCCUACUCCUAGUGUUAGAGCUGAAAGCGUCUAGUGCUGAGAUUAAUUGAUCUGGUGGAUCCGUAAGGACUCAAACUUUAUCUGCAUCGCGUUGCCAAAAAAUUUACGGGCUCUGACGCUCCCACGUGGUUCCAAUAUUAGGGUACAAAUGGAAACUAUUUAUCUAUCUAGAAUCUAGAAUUUAGUAUCUAGAAUCUAGCCGUUUAUGCCGGAAAUGAAUAAUUGAUGGCGGGUAGAGACGAAAGCACCAGACCGUGCGGAAGUAUGCCCAUGCGAUGGCUGCCCAUGCGACCAAGUCAAGUCGCCAGUUGGCGGUUGUUCGCAUGAGUGUACCAGGCUCACCACAAACCGGGAGAAGUGGCGAUUGGUCGUGAGGCACAUAACAUCUACCCACAGUAAUGAUACUGAAUGACGACCACGACCGCUCUGACAAGAUUGAUACGACGAAGAAAGAGAAGUAGCCCAGAGUCUUGGAGGUUAAAAAACACCGCUUUUUUUUUUUUGUUGC